AACGAACGCUGGCGGCAGGCCUAAUACAUGCAAGUCGAGCGCGCCCUUCGGGGUGAGCGGCGGACGGGUGAGUAACGCGUGGGAAUAUGCCCUUCUCUAAGGAAUAGCCUCUGGAAACGGAGGGUAAUACCUUAUACGCCCUUUGGGGGAAAGAUUUAUCGGAGAAGGAUUAGCCCGCGUUAGAUUAGGUAGUUGGUGGGGUAAUGGCCUACCAAGCCUACGAUCUAUAGCUGGUUUGAGAGGAUGAUCAGCCACACUGGGACUGAGACACGGCCCAGACUCCUACGGGAGGCAGCAGUAGGGAAUCUUAGACAAUGGGGGCAACCCUGAUCUAGCCAUGCCGCGUGUGUGAUGAAGGCCCUAGGGUCGUAAAGCACUUUCGCCAGAGAUGAUAAUGACAGUAUCUGGUAAAGAAACCCCGGCUAACUCCGUGCCAGCAGCCGCGGUAAUACGGAGGGGGUUAGCGUUGUUCGGAAUUACUGGGCGUAAAGCGCACGUAGGCGGAUUAGUAAGCUAGAGGUGAAAUCCCAGGGCUCAACCCUGGAACUGCCUUUAAUACUGCUAGUCUUGAGUUCGAGAGAGGUAAGUGGAAUUCCGAGUGUAGAGGUGAAAUUCGUA
RNAcentral lists this ribosomal RNA (618 nucleotides) under uncultured Alphaproteobacteria bacterium. Its description in RNAcentral is "bacterial SSU rRNA". It matches the Rfam family "Bacterial small subunit ribosomal RNA", at positions 28 to 692 of the family's 1533-position model. Lineage: Bacteria; Pseudomonadati; Pseudomonadota; Alphaproteobacteria. The record is from RNAcentral.